Molecule: ribosomal RNA, 253 nt
Filed under: uncultured bacterium
Lineage: Bacteria
Description: partial 16S ribosomal RNA
Rfam family: Bacterial small subunit ribosomal RNA
Source: RNAcentral
UACGAAGGGGGCUAGCGUUGUUCGGAAUGACUGGGCGUAAAGGGCGCGUAGGCGGCUGUGUCAGUCAGAUGUGAAAUUCCUGGGCUCAACCUGGGGGCUGCAUUUGAUACGUGAUGGCUGGAGUGGGGAAGAGGGUCGUGGAAUUCCCAGUGUAGAGGUGAAAUUCGUAGAUAUUGGGAAGAACACCGGUGGCGAAGGCGGCGACCUGGUCCUUGACUGACGCUGAGGCGCGAAAGCGUGGGGAGCGAACAGG